RNAcentral lists this long non-coding RNA (946 nucleotides) under Theobroma cacao (cacao). RNAcentral describes it as "long non-coding RNA (TCAC_LNC005667)". Lineage: Eukaryota; Viridiplantae; Streptophyta; Magnoliopsida; Malvales; Malvaceae. The record is from RNAcentral.
AUUGUUUCUGUCUUUUAUAAAGCUGUCUCACAUAUAUCAUCCUCAGCUAGCUAGAAGCCAUACAGGAUUACGACUGAUGUGCGAUUUCAAGAUAGCUAGUCAUUUCACUUAGUCAUGGUGCCACCCCCACCAUGCCAGAACCCAACAAAACUUGGCAACAGCAAGGGCUUAGUUGGUCUUUUCAGCAUGGUGGGAGGUGGCAGAGUAUAAAUAUUCAAGGUAUGAAUUUGAUUUGAUGGGAGGAAUGGGGGGUUUGGUUGAAUUGCAAUAGCAAAUAUGUCAACCACAUCCAGGGGACUGUUUCCCCCACAGGGCAAUUAUAAUCCUUUGGCAUGCACUUUAAGUUGAAGAUGAUCUCUUAUCUCUUCACUUCAUGUGAUGGGAGAAACUGGGUUUUUUUAGAUUGCAACCAGAUUUCACUGUAAGGGCUGGUUUCUCCCAUAGGGCAACUUCAAUCCUUUGGCAGUUUCACUUCUCUUUGCGCCAUGUGUUUACAUCGUUGGAAAAGGUUCUAUGAAGAACCAUAUGCAGCAUGCCCGAGAGUUAGUUUUCUCUUUUAGUAAUCUUUGUUUUACGUUUUCCUUUGUUUUUUCAUAUUUUCUUAAGUGUGUGUUGUAUGAAAUAAGCAGUGGUUCGUGGGUGCUUUGCAUUUGUGAUUUUUGUUCUGUAACUCCUGGAUGUAUCAGAAUAUAGCAAGUAAGCUGCAAUCACCAUAUGUUUCAGAAUCCAGAUCGUUUUACUGAUGCAGCUUAAUGUUAAGUCAUCCAAAAAUAAAUGAAUGGCAGCUCAUUUGAUUUAGUUUAUUGUUAUUACCUGUAGCUCCAUUGUGCUAAUGGGAUGUGUCAAUAAGAACUCAAACCCCAUGCUAACCACGAAUCAAAAAAGAUUGGAAACACUGCACAUGCACAUAAUCAGUCCAUUAUUUGCUGUGAUAUUUUUUGAGACA